Long non-coding RNA from Epinephelus fuscoguttatus (brown-marbled grouper), 259 nucleotides. RefSeq lists it as uncharacterized. The transcript has 3 exons. Lineage: Eukaryota; Metazoa; Chordata; Actinopteri; Perciformes; Serranidae. The record is from RefSeq and is a predicted model, not a curated record.
GUUCAUUGUUCAGGAGGUUCACUAGACCAAGCAGCCUUUUGGGUUCCUCUAAGUUUCCAUGUUUGAGGAAAUAUUCUGUGUUGUUGUGCUGAGUAUUGCUGCUGUGGAGGUCUAAGGUGUUUAUUGAUAUGGAUCCCAUCAUACGUUUUACAUUGUUCAGGAGGUUCACUAGACCAAGCAGCCUUUUGGAUUCCUCUAAGUAAGUACUGUAUAGAAUAAUGGGACUGGGAGGAUGGUGUAGGUUCAAAUUUAUUAGACA